Long non-coding RNA from Felis catus (domestic cat), 2907 nucleotides. RefSeq lists it as uncharacterized. The transcript is spliced from 2 exons. Lineage: Eukaryota; Metazoa; Chordata; Mammalia; Carnivora; Felidae. The record is from RefSeq and is a predicted model, not a curated record.
GGGGGGUCAUGGUUUGUUAUGAUGCUGUCCUUCCGCUAACAGAUGGGGUCUAUGAGAGGACGUCUAAAAGUGUUUUUCAACCCUGUUAUGUCACCAUCCACCACACAUGGAUUACCCUACAAUAUCAACGAGAGAGACACACGAGAUGCUAACAUUAUUCAGUGUGGCAGGAGCCGAUUCUAAAUGACCUGAAGCACCAUCUCUGCCAACAUUACCAGCGUAUACAGGACUGAGUGGGAGGCCACUGCUGCACUAAGGUCUCAGGACCCUGCACUUGGGAGUCGAGGAGCCCAAAACUGAACCCCUGUCCCAAACCAACUGGUUGGGAAUGACGUGGACAGUGAGGGGUCAGUAGGGAGGUGGGACAGGCACAGAAACUUUUACUUCAGCAAAUUUUGGUUGCUUUAGCAUUGUCAAUAUUUCAGAACACGAAACCACCCGUGGAAGUGCCCAUCUGGCCUGGCGCUGCUGGAAAUGCCUGCCCCUUGCUCAGCAGUUUUCAGUCUUCAAACACAGCCCGUCUAUAGUUUCGUAUUUCAUCGCUGAAGCAGAAAUUGAAAGUGAUUACGAAUCAUUCCCAUAAUUGUUGGAUUUUUCCUGCUUAAUUUUUUUCUUAGCCACCUGGUGGUAAGAGUGUAAAAGGCAGGGUUGCAGUAAGAGUUUAUUGUGCUAGUUUACAAACGGCAGCUAUCGCAAAGGCUGAGACCACAUUUAGAAACACACGUACCAGGUGAAGCAAAAGGCUAAUGGUGAACUGUUCUCAAACUUACCGGCAAAGGGACUUCAAUGGGCACCAGCUUCUAACAUGAAAACAACCUUUAAGUAAAGGCACCUCCAUAAAAUAUUCAUCCCGGAUGGAUUAAAAUGUAAUGAAAUGGGGAAACGUUAGUAAAUCUGUAUGUUUUCUUGGAUAAUUCAUCAAGCCGCUAACACUGUUCACUGCCUGGUGUCAAAUUAAGAGGGUUCGAGAAGGUGGGUGAAGUGGCGGGAUUUGGGUGGCACAAAACUCAGCGCCUAGGAGCCGGCCCUGCCUCUUGGCACUGCACUGUUUCCAGAAACGCCUGCCCCAGAGAAGUGUGCGAUUGUCGGGCCUGUCUUCUCCCAUCUUCUCCCGCUUCUCCUGCCGUAUGAAGCCGCUGUCAGCAUUGGCUCCUGCAGACCCCGGCCACCCUGUCACAACCGAGGACCCACUUCAGCAAAGCCAGCUGCCAUCCUAGUCCGUCCGUGGCCACCAGCCGCCCUUAGCAGAUGUCACCAAGUGUGGCCGGAUCUCGGAUUUGUGGUGGCCUCCCUUAGUCACUUUCUGGAACCCAACAUGCAGUACAAGGCCAGAAGACUUCUUCCCGGAAGGUGAAGCAGCCCUAGGAGCUGGGGCUGAGGGAGCAGUGAAUCAGCUGCUGGGAUUCAGACUCAGGCCCCACCAGCUAUCCUUGCCCACCCAGGGCCCGUCCACUGUUGCUGACUGAGCGGAGGUUCCCACACUUGGCUACUAAGAAACACAGCAAAUGAUCUGCCUGUUAGAGUAUAUCUGCAAGCCUGCUAGAGAAGAGUGGAGCUCUUCCCCGACAUGCUGGCAGCUGCUCAAGGUAUGUUCAUGCUGCCUGGCACAAGCCCUCGGGUCAAGAGAAAGAGCCAAGAAUCUGCACCGUGUCCCAACCCAGUGUCUGUCUACAGGGCAGGGCAAAGGGGCCAGUGGGUCUGGUUAGAGGCAGGUAACUUGCAUCUCGUAUGCCCCCAAAGGUCUUUGUUUUUCCUCCAUGACAACUCAGGCCCACAAGCAGCAGAGGGAAGGGGAAGGACUAUCCUUUAGUGUACUACUGAAAGGUUUUUUCAGAAACAUUUUAAGUCUGUAGUAACAAAAUGGUUUUUAUUCAACUGAUCUGCUUUCCUAGGUGAGAAUGGGAAGCUUGGAAGUGCAACUUACAUGUGAGUCAGAAGCAACACAGAACUAUUACAAAAUGUCAUACAAAGCCAUGCUUUUUUAGGUAGUGUGCUAACAAACUAUUCUAGAAAGAAGAGAACAUACACCUGUUUAAACAACUCUAAGACAACGCUUUAGAAGUCAGGCCUACCCAAAAGUGAAUAAACUUGUUACGAAUGCAGGUGAGGGUUCCUGGCUAGGUCUGAGCCCUCACUCCCUCUACUUAAUAUAGUAUUUCAUAGCUUUACAGAAACAAGCCUCCCAGAAGGAGCACUGGACAGAGAGCUGGGAAAUCAGAGGUCAAAGCCAAGCCCCUGCUGACUGUCAGAGGGACCUGUUUCACCCAGCCACAUGAGGCAAGGCCACAGCGGGUGGCAGUGGGGGGUGUGGGCACCCUGGGCUCGGCUGGCCUGGGACCCGGGAUCCACAGGGGGCAGAUCACAGGCCUCUCCGAAUGACAUGGGACAGAACUGAAUUAGCGAAAGGACUCUGGAAGAUGACCAGCAGAUACAACUGCAAAGCUCCAGAGCACGACCUAGACCACCAAAGUGGCCCUGAGCAUCACUUGGAAACCACCAGCACACGUGGCUCCCACCCACUGGUGUGUCCAGUGCUCCCGGCCCCAUGCUCCCCUGCCAGUUGGCACUGCAAGCCCACAGUGAAUCAGCAAUGAGCCAAACUCUGUUCCCAGUGGGCUCUGGAAUUCAGGACUUAAUUCUUCCGGUAACAAACAGAUCUACCUUCAGAAUUACCUUUGCUGAGAAUAUUGUUAAAUCCUGUCUAAAUUCUCUGCAAAGGUGCUGGCUACCCACAGGAAGUCAGGUAGGCGAGGGGAGGAAUGCAGACCUAGAGGGAAGGUAACUGCCUGCUGGAGCACCAGGAGGACCGCCCCUGGUGCACAUGUGACACACGGACCUCCGUUUUUAAACAGUUCUUAAAAAGAAAGAAGCUUUCUUAAAAAUAAAAGCACAGAAUAUUAAGCCUAA